RNAcentral lists this ribosomal RNA (513 nucleotides) under Merluccius hubbsi (Argentine hake). RNAcentral describes it as "partial 16S ribosomal RNA". It matches the Rfam family "Bacterial large subunit ribosomal RNA", at positions 1854 to 2567 of the family's 2925-position model. The record is from RNAcentral. Lineage: Eukaryota; Metazoa; Chordata; Actinopteri; Gadiformes; Merlucciidae.
CCGCCUGCCCUGUGACUAUAUGUUUAACGGCCGCGGUAUCUUAACCGUGCGAAGGUAGCGUAAUCACUUGUCUUUUAAAUGAAGACCUGUAUGAAUGGCAUCACGAGGGCUUAACUGUCUCCCCUCUCCAGUCAAUGAAAUUGACCUCCCCGUGCAGAGGCGGGGAUAUUUCUAUAAGACGAGAAGACCCUGUGGAGCUUUAGACCUAAAAUAAACCACGUUUAAUAUACUAAAAUUAAUAGCAAAAACUUAGUGGGCAUUUAUUUAAGUGUCUUUGGUUGGGGCGACCGCGGAGUAAAACACAACCUCCAUGUGGACGGGGAUACUAUCCCUAAAACUCAGAGCCUCCACUCCAAGCAACAGAAAUUCUGACCUCACUGAUCCGGUACAGCCGAUUAACGAACCCAGUUACCCCAGGGAUAACAGCGCAAUCCCCUCUCAGAGCUCAUAUCGACGAGGGGGUUUACGACCUCGAUGUUGGAUCAGGACAUCCUAGUGGUGCAGCCGCUAUUG